UGACGGUAGUCUCCCUGACUUAUGUAAUAAUUCUCAGGAAAAGACAAGAAUACUCAUAGAGGAAAAAUUCUCGGCAUUAACCACACUAUUGGCUGAGAUGUUGGUCACUCAACAAUUAGUGGAUCGACGUUUAGCUGAGAUUGAAAAGAAAGUGGGUCAACA
This is a long non-coding RNA of Neodiprion fabricii, 162 nucleotides long. RefSeq lists it as uncharacterized. NCBI's taxonomy places the organism in Eukaryota, Metazoa, Arthropoda, Insecta, Hymenoptera, Diprionidae. The record is from RefSeq and is a predicted model, not a curated record. The transcript has 3 exons.